This 501-nucleotide ribosomal RNA is filed under the name uncultured Glomeromycotina. RNAcentral's name for it is "partial small subunit ribosomal RNA". It matches the Rfam family "Eukaryotic small subunit ribosomal RNA", at positions 591 to 1092 of the family's 1831-position model. The record is from RNAcentral. Lineage: Eukaryota; Fungi; Glomeromycota.
CCAAUAGCGUAUAUUAAAGUUGUUGCAGUUAAAAAGCUCGUAGUUGAACUUCGGGGUCUACCCAUUGGUCAGGCUUAAUUGUCUGUACUGGUGAGAUGGAUCUCUACCUUCUGAGGAACUUUCAUGCCAUUUAUUUGGUGUGGUUGGAAUCAGGACUGUUACUUUGAAAAAAUUAGAGUGUUUAAAGCAGACUAUCGUCUGAAUACAUUAGCAUGGAAUAAUGAAAUAGGACGGACUGAUUCUAUUUCGUUGGUUUCUAGGAUCACCGUAAUGAUUAAUAGGGAUAGUUGGGGGCAUUAGUAUUCAAUUGUCAGAGGUGAAAUUCUUGGAUUUAUUGAAGACUAACUACUGCGAAAGCAGUUGCCAAGGAUGUUUUCAUUAAUCAAGAACGAAAGUUAGGGGAUCGAAGACGAUCAGAUACCGUCGUAGUCUUAACCAUAAACUAUGCCGACUAGGGAUCGUACGAAGUUAAUUUUAUAAUGACGCGGUUGGCACCUUACG